This 4417-nucleotide unclassified non-coding RNA is filed under the name Eufriesea mexicana. RNAcentral's name for it is "rNA exonuclease 1 homolog, transcript variant X3". Lineage: Eukaryota; Metazoa; Arthropoda; Insecta; Hymenoptera; Apidae. The record is from RNAcentral.
GACUACGUUUCCUAGUGGUGAAUACGAAUUUAGAGUUUAUCAUAGAGGUGAAAAAUAACAGAAAAUUGGAGAAGAGUAGUUGGGGGGAAAAAGUAAAAUGUUAUGGGGGAGAUUGGUUUUGAUUGAGGUGGAAGGGAAUGAAUACUUUCAAACAAAUCUCAAGUAGGGAAAUGUACGAGGCAAGUGUACAUAACCUCUGUUAUCGGGAUUCGAUUCGUUUCGAGUUUCGUGUUUUUGAUGCAUCUUGUAAAAAUUCACAAAUCUUUCUCGGAUAAUGACCAAGCACAUUCAUUAAAUGCAAAAAAAAUAAUGUUUUAUGUAUAAAAGAAGUUUAGAAAACUUGGUUUUGUUUAAAAAUCAAUGUUCUUACAUGACUUCAUAUAAUACUUUUUGAUCGAAGAAUGAGUGAUCGAAAGUAUAAUAUACGAUGAAAUAGUUAUGUUGCCCUCGACUGGUUACUUUAAAGCUAUUAACUGUCCAUUUUAUGAAAGUGGAACGUGCGAUAGACCCUACUGUCAUUUCAAGCAUUCGAAACGCGAAGAUGUUGGAAUCACCACGGAGGCGAUCGAGUCGGUGCAAAACCGUUCCACGGGUCAAGUUGAAGAGUCCAAACCAGCUACAAUGGUAACAUCCAAUUCAGACGUUUUACAACAAUUAGUAACAGAAGCUGUCAAAAAAGUCCUAGCUAAUCGAAAUGUCACAGAUGUAGAUAAUAAAUUUUCUUGUCAGAAUGUUGUUUCUCAGGUAGUAGAAGGACUAAAACCCACUUUAACUUCUGGAUCAUCUGGAACAAUAGAUAAUGUUACGGCUAAUAUGGUAGAAAAAAGAGCAGAUACUCCGGCGCCAGUUAAUACAUCACUUCCAUGCGUUUAUAAUCCAACACCAAUCGCAGAAUUAAAGAAACGUCAUAUACCAAUAGUAUCAUAUAUGCCAACCAGGAAAAGUUCGGUUGCAGUGAAACGUAAAUGCUCACCGGAUAGAGUUAAGCCUUGGUUAAAUAUCAGCAGUGAGUCUAUGGAACCGUCAACAGUUGAAAUUAAAUACAAACCUACUAUAAUAAUUAACCCUGAAGCUCGAGAUACUAUGCAGAGUUACAUACCAACAUGUAAAUCAGAUUCAGCUUCGAUAAAUUCAUAUAAGGAUGGUAGUUCAAAUGAGUAUCUAUCUAAACUCAGGGAAACCUACUAUCCAAAGUGUAAAAAAAAAAGGGAAGAGUAUGUUCCAAAGAAAGUGAAAACUCCAUUAAAAACUACAGACGGAUUAAAUGAAUCUGUAUUAGAUCAUUUUGAAACUGAUUUUGAUAUGAUGGAUGAGGUACUUACAUGUACAAAAUCAACUUCUGAUAUACGAUCUAGCGAAGUAUCUCAGGAUUCUUCUGUAGAUUUAGAACCAAAAUUUUCUGAUGACGAAGAAGACAAUAGUAAUAAUUGCAAUAAUACUGAUGGUUACAGCCAUGAUGGAAAAAAAGUUAAUAUCACAAAUAUUGAUUCUAUGACUUUAGAACAAAAUGAAUCAUAUUGCGAUGCUGAAACAUCUGAUUGUUCAAAUAAUAUACACACUGUGGGCACACAUGUUCAAAAGGUAGUUGAUAGUAACGAAUUGCACGUUACAGAAGAACAGCAGAAUGAGAAAAUAUCGGUAUGUAUUAACAUUCGGAAACAAAAGAGAUUAUCGAGCGAAGAAGGUUCAAAAACUGUACCAUGUGAGAAAGCAAGUACAUUGCAAAUAGAUUCACAUAAAAGUACCAUUGGAGAUGUAAAGGAACAUAAAAGCAGAGAUAAAAACAAAAGCAAAAGUCAAAAGGAUCAUAGUAUGUCUCAUAAAAGGUAUAAGGAUAAGCAUGAUUCAAAUAAAAAAUCGCAUUCCACAUCGAGUAGUAAAAGCAAAAGUAAAACUAAGAAUUAUUCAAGACAUAAGAGCAAAGAAUGUAGAGAUAAGAAGUAUGAUAAAGAUAAGAAUAAAGGAAAGCACCAGGAGAAAUAUGGGGAGAAAGAAAAAGAUAGGGAAGGAAGGGAAAAUAAACUCAAAAGUAAGAGUGAUAGGAGAGACCAUCAUGGAUCAGGAAAACGGCAUAGAUAUUAUUCGAAAAGUUCUUCACGAAAGCAAGAACAUAUUAAGAAUAAAAAUGACAAAUGCUCGAAAACGGAGAAUAAGUCAGAUGAUAAAGUAAUCGAAAAAUCACAUGCACGCAUGGGGUAUAAGGAAGAAAGAAAUUCAACUGACAGAUCGAUAAAUUCUUUGGAAAGCAUUCGUCUGAGUCCGGUAGAUGAUGGUGAAGAAGAGAACGAUGACCGUCAGAGUAGUAUCAUUGAUAACGAUAUUGAUGUAAUUUUUAGUACAUCUGACUCAGAUCACGACGUACAAGAAGAGUGUCUAAAGAUAUUUCAGGAAUAUCAACUACCAGAAAGGUCAAAGGCAACGGAGUCACCAAAAGAGUCAUCAACAUUGCUUGAAAAAGAAAAGGAACAGACAGAAGAGGUUGGCAGGAAAAGAGUAGCGCACCCUUCAGCAGCUACAUGCGUUACCAGGCAAAUUGGAAUUACUCAACAGGCGAGAAAAUUGGUAAAUCCGCAACAGAAAAUGUACGAAAGAUGGCGUUUGAUGCGAGAUGCUGCAAUAGAAAAAACAAUUUCUGCGAGUAGUAGUGUUUCCAAAGAUGUACGCCGAAAUCAUACCGAAGUGAUAGGAACAGCAAGCAACAGUGAAUUAAGCCUAAAUGGAAAUGGUCGUGUCAGGAUCGCUCAUGUACCAUAUGCUAAAUCUCUAGCGAUAGAAAAAAAGAAAGUGACAGAAAAUGCAGGAAAAGCAGUUGAACCGAAAACAACGGAUAAUUAUAAAACAGCUGCCCAAACGGCGAAGAGCGGUGUGCGAGUCGCUCAUGUUCCACAAGUGGUUCCUCAAUUAAUACGUCCUGAACCGUUGCAAGUAACUACUCAAAAAUUUCCUUUAAAUGUUCGUCAAUAUUACGUAAAUAUGAUGCAUGAUGUAUGCGUGUUAAUUUAUACGAAUGCUGAGGAUGCGGCACAACGAGCGGUUAAAGAAGAACACGCUUGUCACGAACGAUGUAAAGCGUUAACUGUAUACAAAAAUUCCUGUAUGCUUGCUGCGCAUAGAUUGAGGAAAGAAAUUGAUCAAAAUUCAUCUGGGGAUAAUAAUACAACGACAAUGCCAGGAAGUAGUAUGGUAUCCCAUGAAGCAGUACUUACCGGGAAAGCUAAAGGUUCCUGGAGUGUACUUAAGACAAAGAAAUCCAUUACAAAAUUUAGAGGUACAGCUCUAUAUGGUAUGUUAAAAAAAUGGAUAAUGACGGAACAACAACUUCGAGAUAAUGGAUUUCCUCGUUCACAUCCAGAUGGUCACAAGGGACGUGCUAAAGUUUAUGUAAUCAACUCGCGAAAUCAAAGUAUUUUGUCAAAAGUGCCUAAUGAAAGAGUUUGUAGUCGAUGUGGUCAAACUUACAUGAUUGAUAGACAAGGAUUUGCUUUGCAACCACAGAACUGUAUAUAUCAUUGGGGUAGAAAAUUCACAAUUAAAGGUGAAGGCAAAUAUAGUUGUUGUCAACAAUAUGGAUCUGCAACUGGUUGUUGUGAUGCAAAAACACAUGUUUGGGAUUAUACAGAUUAUGAAAACCUUCGAGGUUACGUGAAAACUUUACCUAAAGAUACACCAAUUGAGGAACAAGGGGUGUAUGCACUCGAUUGCGAAAUGUGUUAUACAACUCAAGGAUUGGAACUGACUAGAAUAACAGUUAUCGAUGAAGAUUGCAGUGUGGUAUAUGAAACGUUAGUUAAUCCGCAAAAUCCAAUAAUCGAUUAUAAUACAAGGUUUUCCGGAAUUACAGAAGAAGAUAUGAAGGAUGUGACAACAACGUUAUUAGACGUCCAAGCGACAUUAUUGACGAUGUUUUCAGAAAAGACCAUACUAGUGGGUCACAGUUUAGAAAGUGAUUUUAAAGCUUUAAAGCUUUUGCACGAUACUGUGGUUGAUACGAGCGUAAUGUUUCCGCACAAAAAUGGAUAUCCACAAAAGAGGGCUUUGAAGAAUCUUUGUUCGGAAUAUUUAAGGAAGCUCAUCCAAAAUGACGUUGGUGGACACGAUAGUAAAGAGGAUGCUAUCGCUUGUAUGGAAUUAAUUUUAUGGAAAGCAAAGGAGGAAGCAAAAUUACAAUAGACGAAAUUACAAGUACCGUCAGACUGAAUCGUGUACAGCUUAUGAUUUCAUGGUUUACGAAACGAUGAUAAUCUCUUUUUUGAAUUACCAAUGACCGCUCAUCUACGAAUUACAUUCACGGUUCUACGAUAGUACACGUUCGCCCUUUUCAUCGCGCGCAAUUCAUACUUUUAUAAGAUUUCGUUAUUAUUGCGCUUUGAAUUUUGAAUCGUUCGAAUGUAAAUAGAACGAUGUAGGGGUACCUGCG